RNAcentral lists this long non-coding RNA (564 nucleotides) under Phoenix dactylifera (date palm). Its description in RNAcentral is "long non-coding RNA (PDAC_LNC003733)". Lineage: Eukaryota; Viridiplantae; Streptophyta; Magnoliopsida; Arecales; Arecaceae. The record is from RNAcentral.
ACACCAAAGGACUGAGGAGGCGAAUUCCUGGUAAUGGAAGCAAAACUUUCUACAAGUUGUUUUCAGCAAUUAAGAAUUUAAUAUAGCUUUGUUCUCACUUUAUACAGUGGAAUCUGUCUUGGGAAAAGCCUAAUUAAUUUUAUGUGAAUCAAAGAAUAACAUAAAAAACCUUAUUUAUGUUAUGACUGAUUAACUGGGUCCUGUUCGGUAAAGUUUUUAUUUCUUGUUUUUGUUUUCAAAUACCAAAGAAGAAAAAUUAACUAAUCUGAAUAACAUGUUGAGUAACAUCCUUUUUUUUGUAUUUAAACUUUUCAUAAAAAUCAAACUUUGGGUAGCAUUUUCUUUCCAAAAAAGUGAAAACAAAAGGCAAGAGUAGCCGGGUUUACAUAAAAAUUAUAUUUAAAAAAAUCCACGUGGUAUUUCAUAUAGAAACAGAAACAAAAUAUGACACCUUUACAUUGCAGACUUUUAGUUCCUUGCAUUUUUUUUCCUUUUUUUAAUCCUGUGUUGUUUGGUUCCAAUGGGUCAGCUCUUUGGCAUUUUGCUCCAUGACUCAAGGCAAAU